This is a non-coding RNA of Manis javanica (Malayan pangolin), 3897 nucleotides long. NCBI's taxonomy places the organism in Eukaryota, Metazoa, Chordata, Mammalia, Pholidota, Manidae. The record is from RefSeq and is a predicted model, not a curated record.
UAAAUACUAACUUGGUUUCACACUCAUUUUCAAAAUCAUGCUAUGCAGAUUUUCCUUCCUCUUAUGUUACAAUUUGCCUUUUAGAAAAUGCCUUCACUUUGUUACUCUCUUCUUCUGUUGUCUUAAGGGGCAUCCGUUUUGAGGAGAUACCUCAGAGAAUGGCUGGAUUUGGAUUCAUUUUGGAGUCUUCUGGUUAGAGGACAUCUCUUCCCUCUUCCAGCGGGUCUCCACUGUCUCACAGCAUUUCAGUCCCUAUGCCUUCAGCCCUCAUCAUGCUAAUGUGCUGUUCUUGCUUUUCCCGUUGUCAGAGGGGAAUGUCCACUGUCAGAGGUGUACACUUGACAGGCUCUUCUCCUCCCUUUUAUUCUGUCCCUUUUCUCCCUGUCAUAGGCAUGGUUUGUCAUUCUCUAUCCAGUGUUCCUUCCUCUUCUUAGUCUGAUUCAUUUCCCUUAAAGAUGUUAUCUUUACUGCCUACUUCAGCUUUUGCUAGUUCAGUUUCUCUUCGGGUUCACUCUCCUGAGGGUCCUCGCAGCUUCUGUUUACUUCUCACAGUGCAGUUGCCACCUGAUUGACUUAAGUUGUCCCGCAUCUUCUGCACGUGCAGGAUCCAUCUCACUCAUUUCCAGCUGUGCUCCCCUUUUUUGUUUUUGUCCUACCACUUUCAUAAAUUCCCCCUCUCACUCUGUUUUGCCUUGUUGUUCUUCUAAGACCCUUUUACCUUCCUUACUGUCCCUUGCAGAUGUUUAUAGCAUCUCUGUGACUUGUGCCCAGCAUUCACUUGAGCCUUCCCUGUAUUCUUUCCCAUUUUUAUCAGACCCUAAUUUAGGGCAGGUUUUGCCUACUCUGUUUAUACAUACAGGGACAGAAAUGACACCCUUUUCUCCCCAUAGUGAGAGUGUACCUUGGUGCACUCUAUCUGUACCAUUUUAUACUGUACUUUAGUAACUUUCAUGAGCUUCACGACACAUUUUAGGCUUCUGUUUAUCUGUGGUAGCUCUGUUUAAUUUAAAAUCAGGAAAUAUAAACUGGCAAAGUAUUUUUUUCCCUUGUAGAAAUGUUUUUUAUGUGAAAAGAUAGGACAGUCAUUUAUUUAAGACUGGGCCUGUCCCUAAAAGCCCAAAUGUUCCCUAGCCCUCCUGUGGCACCAGGAAGGCCCUUAGGAAAUGGUUCACUUGCCCUUUCUUGCCAAAAUGCUGUAGUCUUUACUUUUCUCAAGAGUGAUCAAUGGAAUUAACCAUCACCUUUUCCAGAGUGCCAUCAUUCUUAGGCUGCAGUUUGUUUUCUAAGGGCAAUUGAGUGUUAAGACCUUUUUGUUUAGAGGAAGGACAACACAUUUUUGUGUAAGUCCAGAUGCUCAUCACUAGUAUAUGAAUAAUUGCAUUAAAAAAUUUCAGGUUCAACUCUACUAGUUUAUCACCCUCUAGUUUUCAUGUACUUACUACAUGGUUUCUAAAGAAGCAGUUUCUGUUUCGUCUGCAUAUUGGUUCUUGAUUUUUAUUACUGGUAUAAUUUACUUUAUUUUGAAACUGCAUCUACAUCUAGAUGCAUAGUUAAUUAUCACUAUCAUAAUUAAUUCUCAACACACAUGUUUUGGAUUUAUUUGAAAAAAUAGUUAACCUUCUUGUAAAAGUAGAAAAACAGCCAUAGAAUUAAAUGAAAGAUUGCUAUUUAAUAAGAGAGUCUAUAUCCUUUCAGUCACUAACCCUGACACAUAAUCCAUGACAAUCUUUUUCCACUGAAUGAAGAAUUUUAUAAACUGCCCUUAAUUUCUGGAAGUUACCCAAGGUUUGAACUUACUUAGUAUCUGUAUUUGAGAAGUGUAUUUCUUUCUUGCUUAUAUUAACUUGUCAGUGCUGUAGCAGGCCUUAAGCCUCUGCUGAUGAUGCUAAAAAAGUGUGAACACUAUGUUCAAGUGGUAAACCAGAAGAUAGGUAAUUAAUAUUUUGGUCUUACUUGUGUGUGUGCAUGUGUGUGUGUGGCAUAGUGGGUUUUAUCACCUGUGCUGGUGCCUGGGCAUGCCACGAUUUAGUAAUGGCCAAAAGGCAUUGCUUAAGUUCAUUUAGCACAUUCUGUGUACUUGCCUCCUAGUAAAAAGUUGAAGAAAGAAGAGACAAAGAAACAAAUACACAGAAAUGAAGUAAAUUAAACCAAAUGGCAUUUCCUUCAGAGUUCAGAAUUUUCAGAUACUACGAAAGAAAGGAUCCACUACUUCUUAUGAAAAUCUAAAAAUGUCAGAAGCGAGAUUCUGUGGAGUCAAAGUAAUACAUGUACAGUAAUAUAUUACUCAAGAAACGAAAAGGCGCCAUUCCAGUUAUACAAGAGAGAAUAAAAACAUCAAGAGUCACGUCAAUCAAAAGGCCCUGUUGACUGUCGCGCCCAAUCUAUGGAUGGAUCCCAUUGUCUCCAGGAGAAUUGGAUGUCAGCAUCGUUUAGGGUUAACAAUGGACCUACUAGGCAAGAGCAGACAGCUCCUCUCAGCAGACACCAGGAAAGCAAACUUCAUAAUGAGGCACUUCAUUCAUCAUACCCUUCUGCUCUAAUUAGUAAAGUGAAUAGGAAACACUUUAAGUUAAGGCAGAAACUGGAUAACAUAAAAACAUUUGUUUUGUAAACACAAAGAAUGCUUUUUUCUAAUGAUCCUCAUCACAUCUAUAUCAAGCAUAUGUUCUGAGCACUGUUUUCUAAAGUUGCUCUUCCACACCUCAAAUUCAUUCUGAUUAUAGAUGGGUUAUUUUUAUUGUCUCUAAAAGUAGGGAAGCUAAUGCUGCUAAGAAUCUGCCAGUCUAAUUUCUAAUCUCAAUCUCAAAAAAGAAGGGGUCAUAAAUACAUAUUUAAAACCAUGCGUAAUUCAUGUUCCACCUCUAUUACACCAGAGUGGAUGCACCAGCUAUAUAUAUAUUGGUGUAAUUUCUAAAAGUACUGAAAAAUCUAAUUUUUACUUAUUCUAGUUCAUUUUUUCUUAAAUCAUCACUUGAUCCUUGUCAAGAAUUAUGGAAGAAUAUGGUAGAGGAAAAUGUAGAAAUGAUUGGUUUAUACAGUGUUUAUGUAAGUACACUUAAAUACUGCCAGUCGUUUCAGAUUGCUUGGAAUGGAAAUGAUUUGUUUAAUGAAAGUAAGGAAAAAAUAGAGUCCAAAAGAAGGAAAAAGCAAGAAGGCCGGGAGAACAGGCUGUUGCCGGAGUGAAUGAGAACCACCGAAGCCUGCGGAAAGCAGUCAUGAGACCAAAGGCAGGUUCUCCGUAGAAAAGCGUGGCUGCUUCAGUUUGGUUUUUCAGUGUUUUUAACUGAGAAUCAGUUGUUAAUUUUUUUCUAUUAAAUUUGUUCACAGGGCCAUUUUAUAUAAACACUCCACCUGAUUUUGUCUGAGCUAUGGUUCUUCAAUUUAAAAUGGAAGAUUGGUUAAGCAUGGUAAUGUUUUUAAACAUCCCUGCUUGUUACACAGAAGUUAAUGUUCAGAAAUGUCUGCAGAUGCUACUUUUAGCAACUAAAUAUUUCCAUAGUGGUAAAGAAAUGUCAGUAAAAUCUAUGCACUUUAAGAACAUCAAAUUCUUAUUAUACUUAUCAUGUGUGCAGGCAGAGUACAUAAUAAACUAGUCUAUAGCAGCUGUAAAUUUCUGAGGAUUUAUCUAACCACAAAUACAUUGAAAUGGGGAAAUGGGGCUAUAUUAAACUAUGCAAGAGGCUGCUGGAGCUUUGCCAUUUCUGCAACAUCCUGUAAUUAAUUUAUCAUGACAGGUCUGGCAAACUGAAACAUCCAAUACACUUGCGACAGACUGUUAAACUCUCACUGUUGGAGAUCCUGCAGUCACAUACAGUGAAGGCCAUCUCUGGAAGACACAGAGCCAAGGCCACGUGGACCUACUGUUUGACUCCUGGCUUUGGAAUCCUGCUAGCUUCU